Molecule: non-coding RNA, 362 nt
Organism: Pelobates cultripes (western spadefoot toad)
Lineage: Eukaryota; Metazoa; Chordata; Amphibia; Anura; Pelobatidae
Source: the annotation of a GenBank genome assembly
AUGUCAGGAUCUUACCUGAUGGGGAGUCUGGCUCGCAGAGUUAUACGCUCACCCUUGCAAAGUAGACACAGACCAGGGUGACCAGGUAAGACGCCACCUGAUCUGUGAGUCUGUGCACGGGGGCUUUCCAGGAAUAGUGCUCCAAGUAGCAGUACAGCAGGGAUUAGCAGAAGCGUAGUCAAGGAAAGCCAAAGUCAGGGGAAUCCAGAGAUCAGAGUAGUCCAGGAGGAAAGCCAAGGUCAGAAGCCGGAAUCAGACAGGAAAUACUGGAACGCAGAUAUAGCAAGACAGGAACCAAACAAGGGAACCAGAGUCAAUGAACUGACACUGCCCUCAGGGAGAGGCAGUGUCUUAUACCUGGC